Molecule: long non-coding RNA, 774 nt
Organism: Mastomys coucha (southern multimammate mouse)
Lineage: Eukaryota; Metazoa; Chordata; Mammalia; Rodentia; Muridae
Exons: 3
Source: RefSeq, a predicted model, not a curated record
AUCUGGUACAAGGAGAGGAAGGCCUCCCCCUCCCCUCCCCCAACCCUAGCCUUGCAAUUUCAAAGUGCUGAGUCACCUAGUCUUCUCAAGGGCCAGACACUUUCACCCAGGAAGAGUCCUGCAGAGCACCGCAGCGGGAGCACGGAGCUGCCAGGAAGCGGCUCGGUCUUUCCACAAGGUGGUAAUUUACUCUAGAACCGAUGUGCAAGCGCUUCCUUCUGCGUGCUUUGAGUAGGAGUGGGAACAACGGAUCUCUCCAAACAUGGGCAAACUGAGAGCUGCCAUCCUUGGACCAACUAGUUCCUGCGAAGGAUCAGAAGCAGCGACUAGCUAGCGGGGAGCCUCCAUCCCGCGUGCUGGGAUGCUUCGGCGGAUGCUUUGUGUCUCACUCCAUCUUUCGUGCCCUGUAAAGGAGGAACUGUUGUUUUUCAGUCUUCUGGAGCAGCCACGCCUUCCCACAGCACUCAGAGUUGAUGAAGGGAGAGAACGUCUCAGUGAUGACAUCUGCAAAUGAAAUUUCUGACGCAGUUAUACGACAUGGUUCCUAAGCAUCUCUCCAGAGACCCCAGCGCUCACCAUAAGAAAUAUGCUGAAUCCAGUUUAGCCCACGAAAGAAUGCAUUUCUCAGGCUCAGUCUACAAGGCUCUUGCUGUGCAAACCCGGGACGAGAGUUCAAUCCCCAGAAACCACAUAGAGAAGGAAGGAGCAGCUCCUGAGGUUAGCUAUCCUCUGACCUCUAUAGGCAUGCUGUGUGGCUCAAGCACCCUCCCACCC